This 229-nucleotide long non-coding RNA is filed under the name Lathyrus oleraceus (garden pea). RNAcentral describes it as "Pisum sativum (pea) long non-coding RNA (PSAT_LNC020884)". The record is from RNAcentral. Lineage: Eukaryota; Viridiplantae; Streptophyta; Magnoliopsida; Fabales; Fabaceae.
UUUUCCUCUUGGGACACACCUCUUUAGUUAACCCCCAUUUCUUGGUUUUGACACCACUUUCUUUCUUUCCUUUCUGGUUUAAACACCACCCUAUUCAUAUAUUUUUCUCAGCCUUUCUCCUUGGAACUACGGAGCUCUAACUUCCUUAUUGCACUAUAAGGAUACAUAGGCAUAGUGAUGCGAAUUCUUGACGAGCACUUUUCUCCACCUUUUUUUCUUUUCUUUUUCC